UACGGGGGGAGCAAGCGUUGUUCGGAUUUACUGGGCGUAAAGGGCGCGUAGGCGGUAGCACAAGUCAGUUGUGAAAUCUCCGGGCUUAACUCGGAAAGGUCAACUGAUACUGUGCGACUAGAGUGCAGAAGGGGCAACUGGAAUUCUCGGUGUAGCGGUGAAAUGCGUAGAUAUCGAGAGGAACACCUGCGGCGAAGGCGGGUUGCUGGGCCGACACUGACGCUGAUGCGCGAAAGCCAGGGGAGCGAACGGG
Molecule: ribosomal RNA, 253 nt
Filed under: uncultured bacterium
Lineage: Bacteria
Description: partial 16S ribosomal RNA
Rfam family: Bacterial small subunit ribosomal RNA
Source: RNAcentral